CCCCGCACAAGCAGCGGAGCGUGUGGUUUAAUUCGAUGUUACACGAAGAACCUUACCUGGCCUUGACAUCCAGAGAACUUUCCAGAGAUGGAUUGGUGCCUUCGGGAACUCUGAGACAGGUGCUGCAUGGCCGUCGUCAGCUCGUGUCGUGAGAUGUUGGGUUAAGUCCCGUAACGAGCGCAACCCCUAUCCCUGGUUGCUAGCAGGUAAUGCUGAGAACUCCAGGGAGACUGCCGGUGACAAACCGGAGGAAGGUGGGGAUGACGUCAGGUCAUCAUGGCCCUUACGGCCAGGGCUACACACGUGCUACAAUGGCGCGUACAGAGGGCUGCCAACUCGCGAGAGUGAGCCAAUCCCUUAAAACGCGUCGUAGUCCGGAUCGGAGUCUGCAACUCGACUCCGUGAAGUCGGAAUCGCUAGUAAUCGCGAAUCAGAAUGUCGCGGUGAAUACGUUCCCGGGCCUU
This 464-nucleotide ribosomal RNA is filed under the name uncultured Marinobacter sp. RNAcentral describes it as "bacterial SSU rRNA". It matches the Rfam family "Bacterial small subunit ribosomal RNA", at positions 920 to 1378 of the family's 1533-position model. Lineage: Bacteria; Pseudomonadati; Pseudomonadota; Gammaproteobacteria; Pseudomonadales; Marinobacteraceae. The record is from RNAcentral.